GAAUGUACUACUACUAGUUCUGGUAGGAUGAGGAAGAAGCAUUCAUAGUGACGAAGAUGAACAAGUAAGAAUAAUUGAAAUUAGUGGUGGUUGGUAUGGAAUUGAAAUUAGUUACAUCAACAAUAACAUCAUCAUCAUCAUCAUCACGUUCGUUGUUAGGAGCAGCAGCACUAUGUGAUUGCAGCAAUGCUUCUUCUUGUUCUUAUGAUAACAGAAGAUACAGGGGGGGGCACAAUAUCAUAAUAGUAGCUUCCAAAAGCAAGAAGAAGAAGCAGCAUCAACAGCAGGGUUCUUCUUCUCAUUCUCCUCCUCCUCCUCCUCCUCCCAGAAUCACAUCUAAUGCCAAGGAAAACCUUCGCGCCCUCAAGAUGUGGAAGGAGCACCAACAACGAAAAUCUAGCACUCCUAGACCUUCCACCAGUUACCGUAAAAAGAAGGCCGAGAAAGAGGAUACUAUUACUAUCCACCACGAUGACGAUGACGACAACACUGAUUACUAUGGUGAUCCUACCACUGCUCUCUACAAUACAAACCAGUUGGGUAUAAUAGACAAUGCUGUCCCUGUUAUGCUUGUUGAUGGUUAUAAUGUUUGUGGAUAUUGGAUCAAACUCAAGAAACAUUUUAUGAAUGGAAAUCUUGAGAUUGCUCGCCAAAAGCUAAUUCACGAGCUUCUGACCUUUAGUAAGCUCAGAGACCUCAAAGUCGUUGUUGUAUUUGAUGCCCAUAAGUCUGGAUUCCCCGAUCACAAGGAAUGUGCCUUCGGCAUCGACAUUGUUUUCUCAAGUGCAACAUCUGCUGAUACAUGGAUUGAAAAAGAGGUUUCAGCUUUAAAGGAGGACGGUUGCCCCGAUGUCUGGGUUGUCACUUCUGAUCACGAUCAACAGCAUGCAGCAAAUGGAGCAGGAGCCUAUGUUUGGAGUUGCAAGACACUUAUAACUGAGUAGAUAAAGGAAGCACAAAAGGAGGCUGCAGACACGCUUCAAGAGGAAAGGUAUGCCAUGUCUGGAUUAAGUUUGAAAAACAUGUAUUUUCCAUCAGAAAUAUUCGUUUUGUUAUAUAUCUUUUAUGAUUGUUCACUGUGUGGUUUAUGACUUGUGUAUUAAUUGCCUUUGCAAAUUGAGAUAUAAUAUUCUUUAAUGCACUGCUAAUUUCAAUUUAAUUUUGUGAUUUUUUGUUACCGUCACAAAUUUCCUUAAUGAAUGUAUCCAAUUAUUAUCUGGGUUUAUUUAUAUGCUUGCAUUUUAAUUCAAGAGCAAAGUUAUGCCACAAUGAAAAUGAAAAUAGAACAUUUGUUAGAGCAAAGUACCUCCUAUUCAGGGAGAAUAUAAUCGAUUUAGUGCCAUAUCUAUUUAUUUUUAAUAGUCGCAAUAUAAUUAGUUUCCUUAGUUUCUAAUAUUAAAUUGUAAAACUUGUAUGUGUGUGUGCUGAGGGACUCCUCGAGCAAUUUAGCAAAUAUUUGCCCAUCUCAAAAUGGUACUGGAGCCAUCCACCUGGGCCUAGUUUAAUUAAGCAAUAGAAACUAAAAACCAUGUCUCUCGUGGUUGCGAUCAAGUUAGGGCUUCAAACGAACUGGCUCCAAUUAAACAACUGUUGGAACAUGCCUAGCUAAAAACUGUUGAUGAAGUAAACUUAGAAGAACCGUUGCCAGAAUCAGUCACUCUCUGCCUCGUGCCCUCGUAAUUUCAACGUGGGCUUUGUUCAUCACGCUAUUGGUCUUGUUCCGACCACCUAAUUCUUUUCACCUCUUUUGGGGUUCGGCAGCCAAUUUAGUGUUGAUUUAGGUUGUGGGUCUUCGAUCCAGUGAUCCCUAGGAUUCUACCUCUUGUCUUGAGCAUAUGUUCUGCUGAAAGUUGAUCACAAUCUCAAUCCUCCACCACCACAGUUACCCAUACCAUCAACCCCACUAUUUGUAUAUACACAUAUUGGUAAUAAUCUAACUCCUUGGAUUCUUGAUUUGAUACUACUGGCUUCAACCAUUAAUCUGGUGACUGAUCACUUAUGUCUUUUUACUCUACAUGAUUUGUCUACAUUUUGUGACACUUUCUGAUGGCUCUAAAAUUACUUGUAUAAAGCAUUGUUUUUACUUCUCCAACGACAUUUAUGUCAUUAAUAUUUGUAUAUUUGUUCCCAUUUGUCCUUUCAAUUAAGAUUUUAAGAAGUGACAGUGCAAAGGAAUAUUUCCUCCAAAGAAUUUUAAUCAUUUAUGUCUUCUCAUGACAUCUUAUAUAAAUCCACCAUGAUUUCAUACAUCUCAACAAAAUAGGGUAGUUUUUUUUUUUUUUUAAAGAAAACAAAAUAGUGUUGUUGAAGGAGAAAAUCGCCAUAUUAAUGUGAUUGCUCGUACUUUUUUGUUUUAUUUAAAGUGGUGUUAUGUAAACAGCUUGCUUUUUAAUCAGUUGCGUGACUGCUUCCUUUUGUCAGCUAAUAAUUAUGAAGUUCCUCAUGAAGUGUUGGUCCCUAAAUAUCGUUUAUAUCAUAUUUCAACUUGUUUUUGGUUGUGCAUGUUCUGCUUGUAAUCUUUCUCUUGAUCGGUAUAGUUUGGUUAUUCUAGGAUGCAAAAGGAUAUCAUUGUCAUUUGUUUGUCACUAAUCAUCAAUAGAAUUCUGUAGAUGACAUCUUCUUUGAAGAGGCACCCUAUUUCACCUCUUUAGACUACUGUUGAACCUAGUGUACUUUUUUAGGCCUUUCCUACUCCUAUUUUUGUCCAUCUUUAUCUCCCUUGAAGGUCCCAUUAGAGGAUUCUAGAAAUGUCGAGACUCGAUCAUUUCCUUAGCAGGGACCUCUCACUACGCAUCAUUGUCAUUGAUGGACUGUCAUUCUUGAUUUCUAGCAUUUGAAGAAUCCAAUGAGAAUCACAAUGAGUCAUACUCGAUUCCAACUAUUUUCAUACUGUUGAUCUGUACAAUAUGAAUGAUAAGCUUUUUUAUGAUUAUCUAUCAAUUGCUCUUCGGAAAGAUACUUGGUCCACUAGAAACCCUUAUACAUUUUCAAGUUUUUAAGUUUUUACUGUUUACCUUUAUCCUAUUAUGUCAACUUUGUCUUUUGUCUUUCUUCCUUGGAAAUUUUGUGAGGCUCUCAUUUUAAAUUAAAGGCAAACCAUGAUGAGAUGAUUGCUCCUGAGCAUAACACCAUGCGGGACUUAGUUCCUCUUUCCCCAAAGAAAAAUAGUUGGAUGUUAACGUGUUACUAGUUCCUCUUUGCUGAAGAAAAUCUGUUGUUGGAUGCUAAUGUGUUUAUGGUAUGAAGGUUGAUUUAGAAGGCCAAAUAGAUCAUUUAAAGCCAGUUAGUUACAAAAAGGAUACUCUCAAACAUAUGGCGUUAAUUACAGCGAUACAUUUUCUUCGGUGUCCUAGAUGGUGUGACUUCAUUCAUGGUCUCUUGAAGAAGAUAAAUAUAUAUUGAGAAACCACCUAGGUUUGACACUUAAGGGGUUCAAGGUUUGGUAUGUAGUUUGUAGCUAUCUCUGUAUGGUUUGAAACAAUCUUAUUUGAGUUUUGUUUGUGAAACUUAGUAUUAUUGUGCAAUAAUUUGGUAUGACUGGGAGCAAAACUGAUUAUUUUAGUUUUUUAUAUUGACAUUCUUCGAUCCGAAGUUGAUUUGUUUUCUUAUUCAUAUUGUUAUGUACAGAACUUUUUCUUUUCAAGGUAAAUUGUUGAAGCACAAUCUUGAUGCAGAAGUAGUGGCUGCUCUGAAGAACCUGAGGCAAAAAUUAUCUGAAGCGGAGGCUCUGAAGAACCUGAGGCAAAAGUUAUCUAAAAAUGAGUUGAAGUAGAAUAUCAAAUUAAAAUUCUGAUGAAAAGAAUGCUACUAAGCAGAGGAGCAAAACUACUGGUUUCACAUUAAUGAAGUAUUCAGUGUUUUUAUUUCCAAGAAAUGAGUUUAAAAGAGUUUCAUUGUUUUACUAGACAUUGUGAAUAGCCAGUCAUUUAACAUCAAUGUACCCUUCAAUAUCCAUACUUUCCAUUUGAUAGCUAACAAUCCAGCGUUGACAAUGAAGGCCAUACAGGCCCAAAAAUGACAAGCAAUCCAUGUAGAGAGGCCUUUCAUAUAUACACAUGCUUUAUAACUAACUAACGAUAGUGUAAAGAUUGUGUGUAUUUAUUUAUGAUUCACCCGCCACAUCAUUGUAUUAACCUUGUGAUUUUAUGUGUAAUGAUCAAAUGAAUUGAUUAUGGCCACUUGUACGUUAUUAAGUACCAAGUAUACUAUGAAGUCAAAAACAAGUUAAUGACUUGAAGAUGAAUUGUCAA
This is an RNA transcript of Trifolium pratense (red clover), 4250 nucleotides long. RefSeq lists it as uncharacterized. The transcript is spliced from 10 exons. Lineage: Eukaryota; Viridiplantae; Streptophyta; Magnoliopsida; Fabales; Fabaceae. The record is from RefSeq and is a predicted model, not a curated record.